GCCGGGUGUGGUGGUGGGCGCCUGUAAUCCCAGCUACUCAGGAGGCUGAGGCAGGAGAAUCGCUUGAACCCGGGAGGCAGAGGUUGCAGUGAGCCGAGAUCGCGCCACUGCACUCCAGCCUGGGUGACAAGGCGAGACUCUGUCUCAA
Molecule: unclassified non-coding RNA, 148 nt
Organism: Papio anubis (olive baboon)
Lineage: Eukaryota; Metazoa; Chordata; Mammalia; Primates; Cercopithecidae
Rfam family: Metazoan signal recognition particle RNA
About the family: The signal recognition particle (SRP) is a universally conserved ribonucleoprotein. It is involved in the co-translational targeting of proteins to membranes.
Source: Ensembl